Molecule: ribosomal RNA, 484 nt
Filed under: uncultured bacterium
Lineage: Bacteria
Description: partial 16S ribosomal RNA
Rfam family: Bacterial small subunit ribosomal RNA
Source: RNAcentral
AUUGAACGCUAGCGGGAUGCUUUACACAUGCAAGUCGAACGGCAGCGCGGACUUCGGUCUGGCGGCGAGUGGCGAACGGGUGAGUAAUGUAUCGGAACGUGCCCAGUAGCGGGGGAUAACUACGCGAAAGCGUAGCUAAUACCGCAUACGCCCUACGGGGGAAAGCAGGGGAUCGUAAGACCUUGCACUAUUGGAGCGGCCGAUAUCGGAUUAGCUAGUUGGUGAGGUAACGGCUCACCAAGGCGACGAUCCGUAGCUGGUUUGAGAGGACGACCAGCCACACUGGGACUGAGACACGGCCCAGACUCCUACGGGAGGCAGCAGUGGGGAAUUUUGGACAAUGGGGGCAACCUUGAUCCAGCCAUCCCGCGUGUGAGAUGAAGGCCUUCGGGUUGUAAAGCACUUUUGGCAGGAAAGAAACGUCGCGGGCUAAUACCCCGUGGAACUGACGGUACCUGCAGAAUAAGCACCGGCUAACUACGUG